GACGAACGCUGGCGGCGUGCCUAAUACAUGCAAGUCGAGCGAGCUUGCCUAUUGAAAUUCUUCGGAAUGGACAUAGAUACAAGCUAGCGGCGGAUGGGUGAGUAACGCGUGGGUAACCUGCCCUUAAGUCUGGGAUACCAUUUGGAAACAGAUGCUAAUACCGGAUAAAAGCUACUUUCGCAUGAAAGAAGUUUAAAAGGCGGCGUAAGCUGUCGCUAAAGGAUGGACCUGCGAUGCAUUAGCUAGUUGGUAAGGUAACGGCUUACCAAGGCGAUGAUGCAUAGCCGAGUUGAGAGACUGAUCGGCCACAUUGGGACUGAGACACGGCCCAAACUCCUACGGGAGGCAGCAGUAGGGAAUCUUCCACAAUGGACGCAAGUCUGAUGGAGCAACGCCGCGUGAGUGAAGAAGGUUUUCGGAUCGUAAAGCUCUGUUGUUGGUGAAGAAGGAUAGAGGCAGUAACUGGCCUUUAUUUGACGGUAAUCAACCAGAAAGUCACGGCUAACUACGUGCCAGCAGCCGCGGUAAUACGUAGGUGGCAAGCCGUUGUCCGGAUUUAUUGGGCG
Molecule: ribosomal RNA, 566 nt
Filed under: uncultured Lactobacillus sp.
Lineage: Bacteria; Bacillati; Bacillota; Bacilli; Lactobacillales; Lactobacillaceae
Description: bacterial SSU rRNA
Rfam family: Bacterial small subunit ribosomal RNA
Source: RNAcentral